CGGAGGGUCCAAGCGUUAUCCGGAAUCAUUGGGUUUAAAGGGUCCGUAGGCGGUUUUGUAAGUCAGUGGUGAAAGCCCAUCGCUCAACGGUGGAACGGCCAUUGAUACUGCAAGACUUGAAUUAUUAGGAAGUAACUAGAAUAUGUAGUGUAGCGGUGAAAUGCUUAGAGAUUACAUGGAAUACCAAUUGCGAAGGCAGGUUACUACUAAUGGAUUGACGCUGAUGGACGAAAGCGUGGGGAGCGAACAGGAUUAGAUACCCUGGUAGUCCACGCCGUAAACGAUGGAUACUAGCUGUUCGGAGCAAUCUGAGUGGCUAAGCGAAAGUGAUAAGUAUCCCACCUGGGGAGUACGUUCGCAAGAAUG
RNAcentral lists this ribosomal RNA (366 nucleotides) under uncultured organism. Its description in RNAcentral is "bacterial SSU rRNA". It matches the Rfam family "Bacterial small subunit ribosomal RNA", at positions 526 to 896 of the family's 1533-position model. The record is from RNAcentral.